ACAACGGGUGGAGCUUGCGGUUUAAUUGGAUUCAACGCCGGAAAUCUUACCGGGACCGACAGCAAUAUGAAGGCCAGGCUGAAGACUUUGCCGGAUUAGCUGAGAGGUGGUGCAUGGCCGUCGUCAGUUCGUACUGUGAAGCAUCCUGUUAAGUCAGGCAACGAGCGAGACCCACGCCCACAGUUGCCAGCGUACUCUCCGGAGUGACGGGUACACUGUGGGGACCGCCGCUGCUAAAGCGGAGGAAGGAAUGGGCAACGGUAGGUCAGUAUGCCCCGAAUAUCCCGGGCUACACGCGAGCUACAAUGGUUGGUACAAUGGGUAUCUACCCCGAAAGGGGAUGGAAAUCUCCUAAAGCCAAUCUUAGUCCGGAUUGAGGGCUGCAACUCGCCCUCAUGAAGCUGGAAUCCGUAGUAAUCGUGUCUCAAAAUGGCACGGUGAAUAUGUCCCUGCUCCUU
Molecule: ribosomal RNA, 458 nt
Filed under: uncultured Methanosaeta sp.
Lineage: Archaea; Methanobacteriati; Methanobacteriota; Methanomicrobia; Methanotrichales; Methanotrichaceae
Description: bacterial SSU rRNA
Rfam family: Archaeal small subunit ribosomal RNA
Source: RNAcentral